RNAcentral lists this long non-coding RNA (2961 nucleotides) under Sus scrofa (pig). RNAcentral describes it as "lncRNA (ENSSSCG00030007177.1)". Lineage: Eukaryota; Metazoa; Chordata; Mammalia; Artiodactyla; Suidae. The record is from RNAcentral.
CAUGGCAAUGGCAGAUCCUUAACCCACUGAGCAAGGCCAGGGAUCGAACCUGCGUCCCCAUUGAUAGCAGUCACGUUUGUAACCUGCUGAACCACAUUGGGAAUUCCUGUCUGAGUUUUUUUAAUGGCGCUCUGGGCUUUAAUUGUAUCCUUUGCAAAACUGGAAGGAAUUCAAAUUUGGAUCUUCUCUAUAUGCCGUUUUUCUCUUUUCUUUCAUGUUUGAAAAUGUGAUGGAGUUCCCGUUGUGGCUCAGUGGUUAACGAAUCUGACUAGGAACCACGAGGCUGUGGGUUCGAUCCCUGGCCUCUCUCCGUGGGUUAAGGAAUUCAAAUUUGGAUCUUCUCUAUAUGCCGUUUUCUCUUUUCUUUCAUGUUUGAAAACGUGAUGGAGUUCCCGUUGUGGCUCAGUGGUUAACGAAUCUGACUAGGAACCACGAGGCUGUGGGUUCGAUCCCUGGCCUCUCUCCGUGGGUUAAGGAAUUCAAAUUUGGAUCUUCUCUAUAUGCCGUUUUCUCUUUUCUUUCAUGUUUGAAAACGUGAUGGAGUUCCCGUUGUGGCUCAUGGUUAACGAAUCCGACUAGGAACCAUGAGGCUGUGGGUUCAAUCCCUGGUCUCUCUCUGUGGGUUAAGGAUCUGGCGUUGCCCUGAGCUGUGGUGUAGGUCGUAGGCGAGGCUUGGAUCCCGCAUUGCUGUGGCUGUGAUGAGGCCGGCAGCUACAGCUCCAGUUCGACCCCUAGCCCAGGAACCUCCAUGUGCUUCAGGCACGGCCCUAAAAAAACCAAAAAAAAAAAAGGCGGGGGGGGAGACUAUCAUAAUGUUAGUUUCUGGCUCUUAAUUGUCUUUAAGAUUCCCUAAGUCUUUUGUUUUUGGACUAUGCUCUUUUGACAUUUCUGAACAGUUUGCUUUUAUUACGCUUUUAAUCAUAGAUUUGAGGCCAUUUGUUCAAAGACUUGUGUUGUUUGCUGGCUGGGUCUCUGAGCCGCGUCUCUUCACCUGACCGUCGUUUUGUGCAUAUUCUUUGAAUUUCUCUAUUUCUUUCGUUAAAAAGAUCUCUGUAUGAUAUCUUUCUCUGAUUAGCUUUCUCUGUAGCAUCACUUCUGUUUUUAUUACAUUUAUCUAUUCAUUGAUUUCGUGCAGACCUUAUGAUUCCACUGUUUGCUUUGCAACCUGUGCUUAUGUAGUUAUGUCUGUUUCAGCCACUCUGAGGAGUUGAUUGAUUGUUUAUUGUGGGGAAGGCAUUCAUUGAAAGGAAUUGGCUUUGUUCUUCUUUCUACAAUAAGAUUUUUUUCUUGGACCGCAUACAUCUUUUUCUUAUUUGUUCAUUCUUGUACGUUUAGUUGCUAAUCUUCCUUCCAUGGUUGCAGACUGUUUCGCUUGUGCUGUGUUUACUGAGAUUUUUGAGAAGUCUUUCAAUAUAGAAGUUUCGUUUCAGGCUCAUUAUAAAGGUUGAGGAAUUGGAGGAAUUGAGCCCUUUUUUUUUGCAGUGUGAAACUAAUUAAUGGCCACAUUUGAAUUACAGACCCCUCAUUUUGGAAAAUUACUUUGUGUGAGAGAAAUGAAACUCUAAGCUCCCCUUUCAUCUUUGUUAAGAUUAACUUGAAGGAAGAGCCCCUCCUAGUAGGAGACAGCCUUUCUAGGGACGUCAUUGGCACCCGAGAGACGCGGAAUCUGUCCUGUUUCUGGGGUGCCGGCCGAUGGGCGCCGAGGCCGCCGGGCCUGUGCGUGUGCAGCUGCGCCCAAGACGCCCCUUUCUCGGUCACUCUUCCCUCUCGUGCCAGAAGGAGGGCAUAGCGCCUCUCGUCCCGAAUCUGCUGUCUGUGUGCACACCUCCCCGUUGGCUAACAAAGGAAUGGUUAGAAAUACUUUUAAGAAAAUGAACGACGCCGAGUAACAAAUCCUUUUACAAAUCAGAUGGAUAUUCGUUUUUACUUUCAAGAGAACUGGAAGAAUUGUCAGUUGGUAGAUUUACAAAUAUUUUUCGAUGAUAGGUCACUGUGUAAUUUUGGGAUUUAGUUCAAGGUUCAAAGGCUGACUGAUACUUGACGCAACAAAAAUUUCCCUCAUUCCCAUCCUAGUUAUUUAUGUGAACAAAAUGUCUUGACACUUGUAACUAUAAAAACGGAAAAUUAAUGCAUUUACAGUAAAAUUUCGGAGUUCCCCUUGUGGUUCAGCAGUAACAAAUCUGACUAGGAUCCGUGAGGAUGCGGGUUCAAUCCCUGGCCUCACUCAGUGGGUUAAGGAUCCAGUGUUGCUGGGAGGUGGGGUGUAGGCUCAGAUCUGGCGUUGCUGUGGCUGUGGUGUAGGCUGGCCACUAUAGCUCCGAUUUGACCCCUAGCCUGGGAACUUCCAUAUGCCAUGGGUGCGGCCCUAAAAAGACAAUAAAAUAAAUAAUAGAAACUUACUUUUUAUGGUUAAUAAUAUUUAUAUUUAAUAAUACAAAUUCGUAAUAUUUUUGAUCAAUUGCAUAUUAACAAUAAAUGUAAUGAAACCCCAAUCCAGAGAAGAAAAUUUUGUGUAACUUUAGAGUUUACUGUCAUAGGAAAAUUUUAAAAAUUAUAUUUGUGUAUAAUAACAUUGCAGAGAAGUAUCAUAGGUUUAUCAGUAAAACACUUUAAAGCAUAAAUACUAGAGAAAAUUCUAAAGAGGAAUUAAAAAUGGUAAGUGUACAAGGAGAAAAACGAAUAGUAUAAAAUUUCAUGUUUUUGGGCCUGACAUGGCUCAGUAGUUGAUGAACUUGACUAGUAUCCAUGAGGAUAGGGGUUCGAUCCCUGGCCUCGAUCAGUGGGUUAAGGAUCUGGCAUUGCCGUGAGCUGUGGUGUAGGUUGCAGAUGAGGCUCGGAUCCCGCGUUGCUGUGGCUGUGGUGUAGGCCGGCGGCUGUAGCUCCGAUUCAACCCCUAGCCUGGGAACCACCAUAUGCCGAAGGUGUGGCCCUAAAAAGACCAAAAAAAAAAAAAAAAAAAAA